RNAcentral lists this non-coding RNA (30 nucleotides) under Rattus norvegicus (Norway rat). The record is from RNAcentral. Lineage: Eukaryota; Metazoa; Chordata; Mammalia; Rodentia; Muridae.
UCCAAGCUUUGGAUCCUGGUGUCUGGGAGA